This 496-nucleotide ribosomal RNA is filed under the name uncultured bacterium. RNAcentral's name for it is "partial 16S ribosomal RNA". It matches the Rfam family "Bacterial small subunit ribosomal RNA", at positions 28 to 507 of the family's 1533-position model. The record is from RNAcentral.
GAUGAACGCUGGCGGCGUGCCUAAUACAUGCAAGUCGAGCGAACGGACGAGGAGCUUGCUUCUCUGAUGUUAGCGGCGGACGGGUGAGUAACACGUGUAUAACCUACCUAUAAGACUGAGAUAACUUCGGGAAAGCGGAUCUAAUACCGGAUAAUAUUUUGAACCGCAUGGUUCAAAAGUGAAAGACGGUCUUGCUGUCACUUAUAGAUGGAUCCGCGCUGAGUUAGCUAGUUGGUAGGUUAACGGCUUACCAAGGCAACGAUGCAUAGCCGACCGGAGAGGGGAUUAGUCAACGCUGGACCGGAGACGCGGCCCGGACCCUAACGGAAGGCACAGGUAGGGAAUUUACGCAACUGGGGGAAAGCUUGACGGAGCAACGCCGGGUGGGUGAGGAAGGUCUCCGGUUGGUAAAACUCUGUUAUUGGGGAAAAACACAUGUGUAUGUAACUGUGCAGAUCUGACGGUAACCUAAAAAGAAAGCCCGGCUAACUUCGUG